Molecule: transfer RNA, 72 nt
Filed under: Treponema sp.
Lineage: Bacteria; Pseudomonadati; Spirochaetota; Spirochaetia; Treponematales; Treponemataceae
Description: tRNA-Gln
Rfam family: tRNA
About the family: Transfer RNA (tRNA) molecules are approximately 80 nucleotides in length. Their secondary structure includes four short double-helical elements and three loops (D, anti-codon, and T loops).
Source: RNAcentral
UGGGACGUAGGCAAGCGGUAAGCCAUCGGGUUUUGAUCCCGACAUUCACAGGUUCGAACCCUGUCGUCCCAG